ACUGGCACCUUUCCCCAUCGUCUCCCACCUCUCAACUUCCCCUUUUUCUCACUGCUGGCUAGAGACUCCAUUGUCAGCCCCCAAUUUCACUCGCCCUGCCGCCGCCGUCCCCCCGGCUUGGCUCGUGCUGCUUUAUACCGCUUAGCUCGUCCGCCCCUGGCCCCUGGCUCCCUCGCGCGGCCACCGGCCCGAGCUUUGGGCGCGCGGCCCCGCUCCCCGGCUCUGUCGCGCGCUCCUGCCCCGGGUCCCUCGCGCGGCCGCCCGGCGCAGAUUCGCUCGCCUGGCCCCGCCCCCCACUCCCUUGCGCACCCCUGCCACCGGCUGCCUCGCGCGGCCCCUGCCCCAUCUUACCUUGCUUUUCUGCUGCUCACCAUGUACUCUCGUCCCUUUUUUCAGCAUGACGUUACUUCUGCUAUAGUUAAUUUUAAAUAAACAUUGGCUGUCGUGUGGACAACUCCUGGGAUCAAGGCAAGAGCGACCAAAGAUUGCUAGAAGACUUGUGGAUUUAAGUCUAGCACCCAAGCGAUGCCCAGCCAGACAUAGCCAUCGAUUGAUGUUUGUGCUCGGCUCAGUGGUCCGCAAAUGGUCUAGGUGCCCGCAACUUGAGGUAGCUGUGUGAGUCAGCCGCGUAUGGCUCAGGAUCAGCACCACACACCUUCCUGCCACUAUCUCCGUCGGCCGCCGGAGGCAUGCAUUACAAACUUUCAGAGGCCAAGCAGGUUACCUGGAAUCCUGGACCAAUGAUCGAUCUUGGAAGCAGCCAUUCCACCUCCUCUGCCAAUAAUGCCACCGCCUAUGGAUUGGCAAGGGCAUUGCAUGGAUGAGUCCAGUCUGCAAUUGCCACUGCAUGGAAUGCAUAUUACAGAACUGAAAGCCAAUGACAGUGGCUGGAGCAAUGACAAAAGCUACUCAAGUUCUGUAACAAGUUGAUGUCAGUUAUUCGGAGCAGCAACAUGAUUAGCCUGUGGCAGCACCAUCAUUGGAAACCCACUAAUGUCCUCAUGAUUACUCGAUUCCCUGGUUUGACCCUUCGAGGCAUGAGCGGGAUCUGGGGAUGAUGCCUUGAAGAACAUGACAAAGAACAGAGGAUAUUGUUCUAUGUAUCUCUGAUACUUGUGGGGUAUUGUAAAUCCAGAAAAAAAGCAUGCCUGAUUCGAAAGGGGGAGAGGGUGUUACAUACCUGAACUCCCUAAACUUCUCCGAUGAUCCGCCUUGUGACUCAAUGAAAUUCGGGAGGGACAGGUUGAACUCCAGAUACACGAGAUCUCUAGCUCGAGCCAUGGUUCAGUGUACCCUUUAUAUGACUGCUUCCUUCUCGCAAAUGUUUAUGGGAAAUGUUUUAAUUACCAUAGCGUAAUGUAUGGGUCGAGUUAAUUUAAAUUAAUUGUUCACUGUAAUUUGAGGGAAGGUGAUUUGUGAGAUUCCUAAACUGGCCCAGGCUGUUAAAUGCCUGAACGACCAACAGAACGACCAACAGGACCAAA
Molecule: long non-coding RNA, 1484 nt
Organism: Lolium perenne
Lineage: Eukaryota; Viridiplantae; Streptophyta; Magnoliopsida; Poales; Poaceae
Source: RefSeq, a predicted model, not a curated record